UCACCCCCAUGAUGUCUAGCACUGGGCUCUGACCUCCCCUGAGGAUGUGGUGCCCCUGGGACCUCUGACACCCAUGGGUCUGAGAGGUCC
RNAcentral lists this small nucleolar RNA (90 nucleotides) under Zalophus californianus (California sea lion). The record is from RNAcentral. Lineage: Eukaryota; Metazoa; Chordata; Mammalia; Carnivora; Otariidae.